This 493-nucleotide ribosomal RNA is filed under the name uncultured bacterium. RNAcentral describes it as "bacterial SSU rRNA". It matches the Rfam family "Bacterial small subunit ribosomal RNA", at positions 29 to 518 of the family's 1533-position model. The record is from RNAcentral.
AUGAACGCUAGCGACAGGCUAACACAUGCAAGUCAGGGGCAGCACAAGGAGCAAUCUGAGGUGGCGACCGGCGCACGGGUGAGUAACACGUAUGCAACCUGCCUGUAAGCGGGGAAUAACCCGUUGAAAGACGGACUAAUACCGCAUAAUACUAAAUUACUGCAUGGUAAUUUAUUUAAACAUUUAUGGCUUACAGAUGGGCAUGCGCAUGAUUAGCUAGUUGGAGAGGUAACGGCUCCCCAAGGCAACGAUCAUUAGGGGUUCUGAGAGGAAGGUCCCCCACACUGGUACUGAGACACGGACCAGACUCCUACGGGAGGCAGCAGUGAGGAAUAUUGGUCAAUGGACGAGAGUCUGAACCAGCCAAGUCGCGUGCAGGAAGAAUGUCCCUAUGGAUUGUAAACUGCUUUUGCAGGGGAAUAAAGUGCAUCACGUGUGAUGUUUUGUAUGUACUCUGCGAAUAAGGAUCGGCUAACUCCGUGCCAGCCGCCGC